This 147-nucleotide ribosomal RNA is filed under the name uncultured bacterium. RNAcentral's name for it is "partial 16S ribosomal RNA". It matches the Rfam family "Bacterial small subunit ribosomal RNA", at positions 309 to 455 of the family's 1533-position model. The record is from RNAcentral.
CCUACGGGAGGCAGCACUCGGGCCAGACUCCUACGGGAGGCAGCAGUGAGGGAUAUUGCGCAAUGGGCGAAAGCCUGUCGCAGCAACGCCGCGUAGAGGAAGAAGGCCUUGGGAUAGUAAACCCCUUUUAUGACGGAAGAGGAAGGA